This 793-nucleotide ribosomal RNA is filed under the name uncultured prokaryote. RNAcentral describes it as "bacterial SSU rRNA". It matches the Rfam family "Bacterial small subunit ribosomal RNA", at positions 28 to 842 of the family's 1533-position model. The record is from RNAcentral.
GAUGAACGCUGACAGAAUGCUUAACACAUGCAAGUCGAUUCGAUUUACCUUCGGGUAUUGAGGAUGGCGGACGGGUGAGUAACGCGUAAGGAACUUGCCUCUUGGUCUGGGACAACUGUUGGAAACGACAGCUAAUACCGGAUAUUAUGAGAUUCUCGCAUGGGAAACUUAUGAAAGCUAUAUGCGCCAAGAGAGAGCCUUGCGUUCCAUUAGCUAGUUGGUGGGGUAACGGCCCACCAAGGCGACGAUGGAUAGCCGGCCUGAGAGGGUGAACGGCCACAAGGGGACUGAGACACGGCCCUUACUCCUACGGGAGGCAGCAGUGGGGAAUAUUGGACAAUGGGCCACAAGCCUGAUCCAGCAAUUCUGUGUGCACGAUGAAGGUCUUCGGAUUGUAAAGUGCUUUCAGUUGGGAAGAAGAAAGUGACGGUACCAACAGAAGAAGCGACGGCUAAAUACGUGCCAGCAGCCGCGGUAAUACGUAUGUCGCAAGCGUUAUCCGGAUUUAUUGNGCGUAAAGCGCGUCUAGGCGGAAAAAUAAGUCUGAUGUUAAAAUGCGGGGCUCAACUCCGUAUUGCGUUGGAAACUGUUUUUCUAGAGUACUGGAGAGGUGGGCGGAACUACAAGUGUAGAGGUGAAAUUCGUAGAUAUUUGUAGGAAUGCCGAUGGAGAAGUCAGCUCACUGGACAGAUACUGACGCUAAAGCGCGAAAGCGUGGGGAGCAAACAGGAUUAGAUACCCUGGUAGUCCACGCCGUAAACGAUGAUCACUAGGUNUUGGGGGUCGAACCUCA